UGGGGAGUGGUCUAAUGGCAAGACAGCAGACUCUGACUCUGCGUAUUCGGGGUUCGAAUCCCUGCUCCCCAGCCA
Molecule: transfer RNA, 75 nt
Filed under: Desulfobacterales bacterium
Lineage: Bacteria; Pseudomonadati; Thermodesulfobacteriota; Desulfobacteria; Desulfobacterales
Also listed under: 2 other names
Description: tRNA-Gln
Rfam family: tRNA
About the family: Transfer RNA (tRNA) molecules are approximately 80 nucleotides in length. Their secondary structure includes four short double-helical elements and three loops (D, anti-codon, and T loops).
Source: RNAcentral